UACGGGGGGGGCAAGCGUUGUUCGGAAUCACUGGGCGUAAAGGGCGUGUAGGCGGCUGAAUAAGUGGGAUGUUAAAUCCCCCGGCUUAACCGGGGACCUGCAUCUCAUACUGUUCAGCUCGAGCACAUCAGAGGAGACUGGAAUUCCCGGUGUAGCGGUGAAAUGCGUAGAUAUCGUAAGGAAGACCAGUGGCGAAGGCGGGUCUCUGGACAGUUCCUGACACUGAGGCACGAAGGCCAGGGGAGCAAACGGG
RNAcentral lists this ribosomal RNA (253 nucleotides) under uncultured prokaryote. RNAcentral's name for it is "partial 16S ribosomal RNA". It matches the Rfam family "Bacterial small subunit ribosomal RNA", at positions 524 to 776 of the family's 1533-position model. The record is from RNAcentral.